RNAcentral lists this ribosomal RNA (497 nucleotides) under uncultured bacterium. RNAcentral describes it as "partial 16S ribosomal RNA". It matches the Rfam family "Bacterial small subunit ribosomal RNA", at positions 28 to 507 of the family's 1533-position model. The record is from RNAcentral.
GAUGAACGCUGGCGGCGUGCCUAAUACAUGCAAGUCGAGCGAACAGAUGAGGAGCUUGCUCCUCUGACGUUAGCGGCGGACGGGUGAGUAACACGUGGAUAACCUACCUAUAAGACUGGGAUAACUUCGGGAAACCGGAGCUAAUACCGGAUAAUAUAUUUAACCGCAUGGUUCAAUAGUGAAAGACGGUUUUGCUGUCACUUAUAGAUGGAUCCGCGCCGCAUUAGCUAGUUGGUAAGGUAACGGCUUACCAAGGCAACGAUGCGUAGCCGACCUGAGAGGGUGAUAGGCAACACUGGAACUGAGACACGGUCCAGACGCCUACGGGAGGCAGCAGUAGGGAAUCUUCCGCAAUGGGCGAAAGCCUGACGGAGCAACGCCGCGUGAGUGAUGAAGGUCUUCGGAUCGUAAAACUCUGUUAUUAGGGAAGAACAAAUGUGUAAGUAACUAUGCACGUCUUGACGGUAACUAAUCAGAAAGCCACGGCUAACUACGUG